GUGCCAGCCGCCGCGGUAAUACGUAGGUGGCAAGCGUUGUCCGGAAUCAUUGGGCGUAAAGAGCGCGUAGGUGGCUUGUCAGGUCUGAUGUGAAAUCUCGGGGCUCAACCCCGAACGUGCAUCGGAAACCGGCUUGCUAGAGUCUGGGAGAGGAGAGUGGAAUUCCUGGUGUAGCGGUGAAAUGCGUAGAUAUCAGGAGGAACACCGGUAGCGAAGGCGGCUCUCUGGAACAGUACUGACGCUGAGGCGCGAAAGCUAGGGGAGCGAACAGGAUUAGAAACCCCCGUAGUCC
RNAcentral lists this ribosomal RNA (292 nucleotides) under uncultured bacterium. RNAcentral's name for it is "partial 16S ribosomal RNA". It matches the Rfam family "Bacterial small subunit ribosomal RNA", at positions 505 to 796 of the family's 1533-position model. The record is from RNAcentral.